AUACGUAGGGUGCGAGCGUUAAUCGGAAUUACUGGGCGUAAAGGGUGCGCAGGCGGAUAUGUAAGUUAGAUGUGAAAUCCCCGGGCUUAACCUGGGAAUGGCAUUUAAGACUGCAUGUCUAGAGUUUAUCAGAGGGGGGUAGAAUUCCAAGUGUAGCAGUGAAAUGCGUAGAGAUUUGGAGGAAUACCGGUGGCGAAGGCGACCCCCUGGGAAAGAACUGACGCUCAGGCACGAAAGCGUGGGUAGCAAACAGGAUUAGAUACCCUGGUAGUCCACGCCCUAAACGAUGUCUACUUGCUGUUGGGGGUAAAACCUUAGUAGCGAAGCUAACGUGAGAAGUAGACCGCCUGGGGAGUACGGUCGCAAGAUUAAA
Molecule: ribosomal RNA, 373 nt
Filed under: uncultured bacterium
Lineage: Bacteria
Description: bacterial SSU rRNA
Rfam family: Bacterial small subunit ribosomal RNA
Source: RNAcentral